AAGGAGGACACAAUGGGGUCAUGAUAAAGCCCUUAGCACAGCAGCUGGCACUCAGAGAGAUUGAGAAGCCAGAAGAAGGUUCUGGAUCCCCUGGACAGAGCUGGAGUCACAGGGGGCAGUAAGUUGCCUGACAUCAGCUCAGAAAAUAUCUGGGAUCUUCUAGAGAGCAGGUACUUUUAACUAGAGAAUGGAGCCAUCAUUCUAACAGGUGAAGGUCUCCAGGAACUCUCCACCUAUGGAUGUUGCAGAUAUUGGAGUUGCAAAAUGGAAUCCACCAAUCAUGGUGGCACUAUAUUUACCAAUCUUAACACUCAUUUUCAGCUCUCCAUCUAUGAUCCAUGGGAUGAUAGUUGUCAGACUGCAGUCAUGGGUAAAAUUUACCCUGAUGGCUAUGCCAAAUACCCAGUAGCUGACCUGCACAUCUACCACGAGCUUGUUCCAGCCCCCAAAUCAGCCUUUGCCCAUGUUAACAUUAUCCAACAGGAAAAUCAGUCUCAGAAUGAGCUAGGAGCUACCCUCUCCUGGCUAUAAUAUAUCCAAUAUGCAGAUGACAUCCUUCCCUCAACAACCCACCCCAACUCCUCUCAAUGCUUUUUCUGUGCUUCUCUCUCUCGACCAGUAUUAGCAGGUGUUCCAAUUAACAUUUCCCUUUAUGCCCCCAUGGAACCCUACCCAUGAGGAAAACAUAGGACAUUCUCUUUGACCUAUCCUCCCCACUUUGCCUUGUAGGGCCCUCCUCAAAACCCCAUCUUACAUGUGUCUGUGACAUCACCAUCACCAAAUCAGUAUGUGUUAACCCUCCUGCCCUCCUCUGGUACAAAGGCACUACAGGUGUCUGUAUUAACCCCCCUUUUCAAGGUUCCUGCACCCCUGUGAUAAUUGUCCCCCAGGUUUAUCUCUACAAACCUGGGGAACUCACCUUGCAGAUGGGAGAAAACUGAAAGAAGAGAGAGAUCUUCAUCCCUCUGCUCAUUGGACUAGGCCUUGUUGUCUCACUGGGUGCAACAGGGACUGCAGGAGCAGCCGUUGUUCAAACACAUCUGGCCAACAACUUCCAAGACAAGAUUUACCAGGCAAUGGCUUCUACUACAGACAGCCUUGAGUCUCUUCAAUGCCAGAUAACCUCCUUAGUAGGAGUUGUUCUUCAAGACUGGAGAGCCCUGGACUUACUGACUGAACAGGGAGGGACUUGCAUUUUGCUGGGGGAGAAUUGUUGCAUUUAUGUCAAUGAAUCUGGGUUGGUAGAACAAGAUAUACAAAUGUUCAAAGAACUCUGAGGGAACCUCUGGGCACAUACUCCCAACACCCCUACCCCUUGGUACUCUAACCCCUUGGUAUCCUGGGUUCUUCCUCUCCUUGGCCCCAUACUAGCCAUUGGAGCCUUGUUUCUCUUGGCACCCUGUCUCACUCAGUUUCUAAAGCAGCAGAUGAGCAGCAUUGCAAAAAUCGCUACCGAUCAGGUCAUGAUUCAGUAUCAAACUGUUCCCAAGAUAGGAGACCGUUAUUCCGAUGACCCCUCUCCCUUAGAAAAAAAAAAAAGUGCCCUUUGGUCCACUCCAGCACCGGGGUGCCUUGCCUGCGGAGUCUCCAGACACCCGCAAGGACCCACACAGGAUCCCCCAUGGGAUCCUAAGACCUCUGGUGAGUGGAGCACAGUGUCUGCUCCAAUCCAAUCGCACGGGACCUCAAACUGCAUUAACUAGGGAAACAGAUAACCCAGCCUGAUCAGGGGCACAAGUCCCUUCCGGUCCACUCCAGCACCGGGGUUCCUUGCAAGCAGAGUUUCUGGACACCCCCAAGGUCCUCACAGGACCCUCCACGGGAUCUUAAGACCUCUGGUGAGUGGAACACAACCUCUGCCAGGAGGCCGGUUGAACACG
This 1880-nucleotide long non-coding RNA is filed under the name Mus musculus (house mouse). RNAcentral's name for it is "predicted gene, 40655". The record is from RNAcentral. Lineage: Eukaryota; Metazoa; Chordata; Mammalia; Rodentia; Muridae.